CCCGAAUGCCGCUCCUGUCAGCGGCUGUGCUAUGUGAUGGUGGGUGACACGUGGAGGGAAACAGGAUCUCUUCCAGAAUAUGUGAAAAGGGAAAGAUGCAGAUUGCCACCUUCUUUCUCCACAGCCACUGAAAUGGGAGGCCCAGCUAAUGAAAAUAGUUCUGUUCUCAGCUGAGUUGACAGUGUUGCCACAGAAUGGAUUGGGAGUAACUCCAAGAAAGUGAGAAAAUUGCUAAGAACAGUGGGAAAAACUGUGGAGUCACAAGAGGCAGAUCAACAAGGGACUAUAAGCUUUAAGGUAAAAGCCAGAGAGAAGGACUUUCUGCUGCCAUACAGGUGUGCACAUCUUGAAUCCCACAAGUGUGGAUCCACUA
Molecule: long non-coding RNA, 373 nt
Organism: Motacilla alba alba
Lineage: Eukaryota; Metazoa; Chordata; Aves; Passeriformes; Motacillidae
Exons: 3
Source: RefSeq, a predicted model, not a curated record